GAUGAACGCUGGCGGCGUGCCUAAUACAUGCAAGUCGAGCGAACAGACGAGGAGCUUGCUCCUCUGACGUUAGCGGCGGACGGGUGAGUAACACGUGGAUAACCUACCUAUAAGACUGGGAUAACUUCGGGAAACCGGAGCUAAUACCGGAUAAUAUAUUUAACCGCAUGGUUCAAUAGUGAAAGACGGUUUUGCUGUCACUUAUAGAUGGAUCCGCGCCGCAUUAGCUAGUUGGUAAGGUAACGGCUUACCAAGGCAACGAUGCGUAGCCGACCGGAGAGGGUGAUCGGCCACCCGGGAACUGAGACACGGUCCAGACUCCUACGGGAGGCAGCAGUAGGGAAUCUUCCGCAAUGGGCGAAAGCUUGACGGAGCAACGCCGCGUGAGUGAUGAAGGUCUUCGGAUCGUAAAACUCUGUUAUUAGGGAAGAACAAAUAUGUAAGUAACUAUGCACGUCUUGACGGUACCUAAUCAGAAAGCCACGGCUAACUACGUG
This 497-nucleotide ribosomal RNA is filed under the name uncultured bacterium. RNAcentral's name for it is "partial 16S ribosomal RNA". It matches the Rfam family "Bacterial small subunit ribosomal RNA", at positions 28 to 507 of the family's 1533-position model. The record is from RNAcentral.